UCAAAUUGUGGGUGGUGGGAUGGGAUGUUGUAUUGAUCCCUGGUGAUGGAAGAAGGGCCAGAAAGGCAUCAGAACCAAGGCAGUGCUAGGGACUGGCUGCUCUCCCCACCUUUCUCUUAAGUCAUUUGCUACUUUUUGGACAAUUAUAUUGUUUCUACUAGAUUUCCACAGAUAUUUCAUGACUUUGGCCUGUAUGUGUCUUUCUGGUUGGUCUGUUUGGUCUCUAGAUGAACUCACUUUCCUUUCUCUUUUUUAUGCUGUGGGAGAAUGAUACAUACCAGAGCUCUCACGAUGGCUGGCUUCCUAUUGCGUCUGGCUAAUCAUUAAGUCACCAGAGGGCAAGAAGAGAGCAGGAGCCCAAAUCAUUCUUCAAAUGGCACAAAUGAAUACGUGUGUUAAUGGAAUACAGGACAACAGGAAAAUAUCCAGAAGAGUGAUACUGACUUACAAAUUGUUAAAGAAGACUCCAUAUGGAAGCAAGGAUCAAUUUUGGACUUGCCUUUAUCUUUUAAUUCAUUUGCCACAAGCCUGCACAUAUCUGAUGUAGGCAGCUGCUCAAGGUUUUGCAGUUGGAGAACAUAUAAGUCUCCGAUUUUUAGGCGUUUUCUCAGCAAAAUUUGACCUCAUAUGGAGGAACACUGAAAAUGUGUGCAUAGUCCAAGGCAUUGUGGUCCUCAGAGCAUCUUCACAUGGAAAUGAGUGAUGGAGCCUUCAUCUACUGAAGAUUUUGGCACCUAACUCACUGGAGUCAUGACUUUCAGAACUCCUGCCAUAAUUAGAGACAACAUUAACAUUCGGGUAACUGGGAUCUUAAAUGAAGUGUGGAAAGGUUCUUAAUUUGAAGACUGUAUUAGAAUCACCUGGAGGCCUACUUAAAACAGUUUCUGAUUCAGUAGGUCAGUAAGUAAAGGAUGGGGUAUGAGGAUUUGCAUGUCUAGCAGGUUCUAAGGUGAUGCUGGUGCUACUGGCUUGGGGACCACAUUUGAGAACCAUAGUUCUCCUGAGACACUCAUGGAAACCUGGCUUUGUGAUUCACUUGCCUGUUUUUUUAUUCAUCACCUUGAUUACUAGUAUAAAUCCUUCUCUUCUAUC
Long non-coding RNA from Talpa occidentalis (Iberian mole), 1092 nucleotides. RefSeq lists it as uncharacterized. NCBI's taxonomy places the organism in Eukaryota, Metazoa, Chordata, Mammalia, Eulipotyphla, Talpidae. The transcript is spliced from 5 exons. The record is from RefSeq and is a predicted model, not a curated record.